UGGGGAAUAUUGGUCAAUGGGCGAGAGCCUGAACCAGCCAAGUAGCGUGCAGGAUGACGGCCCUAUGGGUUGUAAACUGCUUUUAUAAGGGAAUAAAGUGAGUCUCGUGAGACUUUUUGCAUGUACCUUAUGAAUAAGGACCGGCUAAUUCCGUGCCAGCAGCCGCGGUAAUACGGAAGGUCCGGGCGUUAUCCGGAUUUAUUGGGUUUAAAGGGAGCGUAGGCCGGAGAUUAAGCGUGUUGUGAAAUGUAGACGCUCAACGUCUGCACUGCAGCGCGAACUGGUUUCCUUGAGUACGCACAAAGUGGGCGGAAUUCGUGGUGUAGCGGUGAAAUGCUUAGAUAUCACGAAGAACUCCGAUUGCGAAGGCAGCUCACUGGAGCGCAACUGACGCUGAAGCUCGAAAGUGCGGGUAUCGAACAGGAUUAGAUACCCUGGUAGUCCGCACGGUAAACGAUGGAUGCCCGCUGUUGGCCUGAAUAGGUCAGCGGCCAAGCGAAAGCAUUAAGCAUCCCACCUGGGGAGUACGCCGGCAACGGUGAAACUCAAAGGAAUUGACGGGGGCCCGCACAAGCGGAGGAACAUGUGGUUUAAUUCGAUGAUACGCGAGGAACCUUACCCGGGCUUGAAUUGCAGAGGAAGGAUUUGGAGACAAUGACGCCCUUCGGGGCCUCUGUGAAGGUGCUGCAUGGUUGUCGUCAGCUCGUGCCGUGAGGUGUCGGCUUAAGUGCCAUAACGAGCGCAACCCCUCUCCUUAGUUGCCAUCAGGUCAUGCUGGGCACUCUGGGGACACUGCCACCGUAAGGUGUGAGGAAGGUGGGGAUGACGUCAAAUCAGCACGGCCCUUACGUCCGGGGCUACACACGUGUUACAAUGGCAGGUACAGAGAGACGGUCCCUUGCAAAAGGGAUCAAAUCCUCAAAGCCUGUCUCAGUUCGGACUGGGGUCUGCAACCCGACCCCACGAAGCUGGAUUCGCUAGUAAUCGCGCAUCAGCCAUGGCGCGGUGAAUACGUUCCC
RNAcentral lists this ribosomal RNA (1019 nucleotides) under uncultured bacterium. Its description in RNAcentral is "bacterial SSU rRNA". It matches the Rfam family "Bacterial small subunit ribosomal RNA", at positions 355 to 1375 of the family's 1533-position model. The record is from RNAcentral.